Molecule: ribosomal RNA, 489 nt
Filed under: uncultured bacterium
Lineage: Bacteria
Description: bacterial SSU rRNA
Rfam family: Bacterial small subunit ribosomal RNA
Source: RNAcentral
AGUGAACGCUGGCGGCAGGCCUAACACAUGCAAGUCGAACGGCAGCACAGCAGUAGCAAUACUGUGGGUGGCGAGUGGCGGACGGGUGAGGAAUACAUCGGGAUCUACCUUUUCGUGGGGGAUAACGUAGGGAAACUUACGCUAAUACCGCAUACGCCCUACGGGGGAAAGCGGCGGACCGCAAGGCGUCGCGCGAUGAGAUGAACCGAUGUCCGAUUAGCUAGUUGGCGGGGUAAAGGCCCACCAAGGCGACGAUCGGUAGCUGAUCUGAGAGGAUGAUCAGCCACACUGGAACUGAGACACGGUCCAGACUCCUACGGGAGGCAGCAGUGGGGAAUAUGGACAAUGGGGGAAACCCUGAUCCAGCAAUGCCGCGUGUGUGAAGAAAGGCCUGCGGGUUGUAAAGCACUUUUGGCAGGGAAGAAAAGCACUGGCCGAAUAACGCCAAGUGUGUUGACGUAACCUGCAGAAGAAGACACCGGCUAAACU